Molecule: ribosomal RNA, 279 nt
Filed under: uncultured bacterium
Lineage: Bacteria
Description: partial 16S ribosomal RNA
Rfam family: Bacterial small subunit ribosomal RNA
Source: RNAcentral
UGCCAGCAGCCGCGGUAAUACGGAGGGUGCAAGCGUUGUUCGGAUUUAUUGGGCGUAAAGCGCGCGCAGGCGGGCUGACAAGUCAGAUGUGAAAUCUCGGGGCUCAACCCCGAAACUGCGUCUGAAACUGUCAGUCUAGAGUAUCAGAGGGGGCAGGGGAAUUUCACGUGUAGGGGUAAAAUCCGUAGAGAUGUGAAGGAACACCAGUGGCGAAGGCGCCUGCCUGGAUGAUUACUGACGCUGAGGCGCGAAAGCGUGGGGAGCAAACAGGAUUAGAUA